GACGAACGCUGGCGGCGUGCUUAACACAUGCAAGUCGAACGGAAAGGCCCUGCUUGCAGGGUACUCGAGUGGCGAACGGGUGAGUAACACGUGGGUGAUCUGCCCUGCACUUCGGGAUAAGCCUGGGAAACUGGGUCUAAUACCGGAUAGGAGCCAUUUUUAGUGUGAUGGUUGGAAAGUUUUUUCGGUGUAGGAUGAGCUCGCGGCCUAUCAGCUUGUUGGUGGGGUAAUGGCCUACCAAGGCGGCGACGGGUAGCCGGCCUGAGAGGGUGGACGGCCACAGUGGGACUGAGAUACGGCCCAGACUCCUACGGGAGGCAGCAGUGGGGAAGAUUGCACAAUGGGCGCAAGCCUGAUGCAGCGACGCCGCGUGGGGGAUGACGGCCUUCGGGUUGUAAACGCCUUUCGCUAGGGACGAAGCUUUUUGUGACGGUACCUAGAUAAGAAGCACCGGCUAACUACGUG
Molecule: ribosomal RNA, 465 nt
Filed under: uncultured bacterium
Lineage: Bacteria
Description: partial 16S ribosomal RNA
Rfam family: Bacterial small subunit ribosomal RNA
Source: RNAcentral